GAUGAACGCUGGCGGCGUGCCUAAUACAUGCAAGUCGAGCGAACGGACGAGAAGCUUGCUUCUCUGAUGUUAGCGGCGGACGGGUGAGUAACACGUGGAUAACCUACCUAUAAGACUGGGAUAACUUCGGGAAACCGGAGCUAAUACCGGAUAAUAUUUUGAACCGCAUGGUUCAAAAGUGAAAGACGGUCUUGCUGUCACUUAUAGAUGGAUCCGCGCUGCAUUAGCUAGUUGGUAAGGUAACGGCUUACCAAGGCAACGAUGCAUAGCCGACCUGAGAGGGUGACCGGCCACACUGGAACUGAGACACGGUCCAGACUCCUACGGGAGGCAGCAGUAGGGAAUCUUCCGCAAUGGGCGAAAGCCUGACGGAGCAACGCCGCGUGAGUGAUGAAGGUCUUCGGAUCGUAAAACUCUGUUAUUAUGGAAGAACAUAUGUGUAAGUAACUGUGCACAUCUUGACGGUACCUAAUCAGAAAGCCACGGCUAACUACGUG
Molecule: ribosomal RNA, 497 nt
Filed under: uncultured bacterium
Lineage: Bacteria
Description: partial 16S ribosomal RNA
Rfam family: Bacterial small subunit ribosomal RNA
Source: RNAcentral